UUAAAUAUAUUGAAUAUUUAUAUGUAUAUAAAAUUUAAAAAUGGCAAUAAAAUUACUAGCAGGGAGGUUCGGGGUGGAUGUCAACACCCCAUAACCCGUCUUUGCCUCAUGUUUUAAUUUUAGAGAAAAAUUGCACCUGCAUUCAAUAAAAACGGGUUUUCUCUAUCCAAAUCGGGAUGGGUUUGGGAAGGUACCCGCGGGUGUGGAUUUUGUUGUCAUCCUUUGUCCUAACACAUGGUAACCUUUGUUAACUUUUAUCUUGAAGAGCUAUGAACAUUAUGAACUUUAAGUGGAUUUCUAAAUGUUUGUUGAGUAUGUUCAUAACUUGAGAUGUAGGAGAGAGAAAACAAGAGGUUAAUCACACUUUUCCAUGUUGAUAUUGUUCACUGUAGUUAAUAGUACAAAGGAAAGUACAAUGAGUUUAACUACUUUUCUGUCACAAAAGUGCUUUUGUACUUUUUCUUUGAACUUUCUGCAUAGUCAAUCUUCUUUGUCUUCAUAAAUCUACUAUCUAUCUAAAAAACAAACAUUCCUUUGAUUAUCCAAAAAUACCCUCACUUUUUUUCACUUUCUUUUCUUUUAAUAUCGACACAUCAUCACCUUUUGAUCCUAUUUAUCCAAAAUUGUAAUUUUGUCUCCACUCAUUUUAAAAUUUCCUUUGAUCACAUAAUCCUAUAAUACCCUUAUAUGUACUCAUUUUUGUUUUGCUACACGUUAACCUUCAUACCUCAUGUCAACUUUUUACUUUUUCUGAUUUUUUACUUUUUCUGAAAACAUCACUUCUCACCCACCUUUACCAUUUUUCUCCUUCUUCUUUCCAUUUUCCCAAACCCAACACAACCACACCUUCAAACACCCACCUUCACCAUUUUUCUCCUUCUUCUUUCCAUUUUCCCAAACCCAACACAACCACACCUUCAAAGAAAACAUUCUGAGAGAAAAGCCUUCAAUAUAAAAAAAAAAAAUAAUCAAAAUCCCACCACACUUCAAUGGCUAAUCCAAAUCAUGACUCAAUGGCUUCAAAUAAACCUCAGUCGUCUUCAACUAAUGCGUUUCGUUCCACUCCGUCGUUGAGCACUCAACCGAGGUCUCAAGCUGCAUUGUUAGCCAUAGUAACAAAUAAAAAUAUUAGUUCUCCCUUCGAUUACUUCAAAGAUCUAAACAAAGACAGAGAAGUUUGGAAGUUUGGCAUUCGUAUUGUUGAUGUGUGGUCUGUUCUCGGUAAAUAUGGUCAACUGCAUGUUGAAAUGGUGUUUGUUGAUGUUAAGGGUGAUAGAAUUCAUGUUGUUGUUCCAAAAGAUUAUGUAGCUGGGUUCAAAGACAUGUUGAAAGAACACACAACAUAUAUUAUGCACAAUUGUUCUGUUGUUGAUAAUGAUGAUCAAUUUAAGGUUUGUGAUCAUCGUUAUAAGUUGAUGUUUAAUAGUGGGACUACUCUGACAGAGGAGAAGUUGGAUCAAAUUCCAUCGCAUGUUUAUAACUUUAAGUCUUUUGGUGAUAUUCUUAGUGGGAAAUGUCAAAGUAAUUUGUUAGUAGAUGUAAUUGGUGUUGUGCAUGAAGUCACUUUCACACAAAGAGAGGGUGUUGGAAAGAAAGUUCAAGCUUCAUUUAAUAUGAAAGAUCUUAGUGGCAAUAUUAUUAAUUGUACUCUUUGGGAAGACAAUGGGAGGAAAUUUAUGUCUUAUAGUACCAACACAUCUGAAAAUGCAGCAAUUAUUAUUAUUUUAACACGUGCACGGAUCAAACAUGCACAUGGAAUACAGUUGUGUCACGAUCGGUACUACUACCAGCUUUGUUGCAUCAAAAUAUGGAUGGUUCUAUUACUCAUGUGACAAAUGCAAUAGGAAAACUGACAAGGUUAAUGAACCAUUUACGUGUAAAUGUGGUACAAAGUUGAGAUUUACGUAUCUCGUAAUGAAUAUCGUGUCCCAUGUUGCUUUUGGGAUGCUGAUUGCUUUUCUAUACUUGGGUUUACUGCUGAUGAUAUUUGGAACUUGAUGUUAGAGGCCGGUGAAAAUAAUCAAAAAUUUAUCCACCAUUUCUUAACGUUAUGCUGAAUAGGCAUAUGGCACUUAGAGUUAAAAUUCAGCCAUCAUUUGGAAGCGCAUCUGUCAUGCGUUUUUCUGAACUUGAAGAAAUAAUUACACACAUGUUAGAUCAAUUUCCAAACGAUGAGACAACCUCUCAAAUGCAAAUCACCAGUGAUGAUUAUUAUGAAGACAAUGAUCGUGUUGAUGUUGAAAAAAAUCAAACCCCCACAAAACCUACUCAAAGUGGAGAAAUUCAUUUUGUUACUCAAUCUCUUUCAACAACUGCUGACUAUGACCCAGAUAUCACUACAACUGUAACACCUACUAAGAGGAUUAUAGACGACUUCUUACCUGACGCAUCUCAGGGUGGAGAUUAUGCAUCUACUAAACUCUCAACCUCAAAGAUUGUGAAACAAAUUAAGAUUGAAUGAACUUAUAUGAAAUAUAUGUUAUCAAAUAUAUGUAUGGAUGUUUUGCAAAACGAACAAAGCUAAGGAUAGUCUC
This is a non-coding RNA of Cicer arietinum (chickpea), 2534 nucleotides long. Lineage: Eukaryota; Viridiplantae; Streptophyta; Magnoliopsida; Fabales; Fabaceae. The record is from RefSeq and is a predicted model, not a curated record.